Long non-coding RNA from Bombus huntii, 867 nucleotides. RefSeq lists it as uncharacterized. The record is from RefSeq and is a predicted model, not a curated record. Lineage: Eukaryota; Metazoa; Arthropoda; Insecta; Hymenoptera; Apidae. The transcript has 2 exons.
CUUGAUCCACAACGGAGAGCGUUUUAAGUUACUACAAUCUUAUAGAUAGCACUACGUCAUCUUUACGCGCGAGCAUUCCAUUAAUCGAGCGCCAUCUUUCCGAGAAUUUAUCACUAAGGAGCAUCCACAAAGCUACUUAUUUUUUAAAGUGAACAUGGAUGGUGGAAAAAUAUAAGAAGUAUUAGGUAAAAUCACUAACUUCUUGAUAGACAUUAUGGCAGUUUUUAAUUUUCUAUAAUUGUAUUUUCUUUUUGUGAUUAAAUUGAGUUUUGUAAUUUCAUACUUUUAUGUUGGGAUAUGUAUGUAAAGUAGUAAGUAAAAGAAAGAGGAAAAGAGUGUCGAAGGCGUUGUGCGAAAAGAAUGCAAUGAGAACAUGCAAUGUAGCAAUCUACAAUUUGAAUUUGGCGCGAGACAAACAUUAAGAACUGCAUGACGAAAUAGAAGCAAAAUGGCUUCUGAAAUCUCUGCUUUUCAUUACAAAAAUCAUUGUAAAAGUUUGCUAUCAAAAGAAAAACAAUAAACUAAAUCAAGCUCUUUUCUUUUUAAAAAAAUAUGGGAAUUGAGGAACAAUACAUAUUUAUAAUGAAUCGAUCAGUUUUCCAGUAAAUAAAUUAUAGUAACUUUACUAGGAACAUGGAAUAAAACUGAAAUUAACACUUCGGCGCGAACAUUGAAAUAAUUCUAGAGCUCAAUCUUUUUUAGUUUAGAAUUAAGCCCGAAUUUGACAAAUUGAUAACCUUUUAUACCCUUUUUAUUUUUUGAAAUGUACAUUAUUACAAAGUUUUGCAUAUUGCUAUGCUUAUUAAAAAGUUUAUUAAUACAAAUAUUAAUAAUAAAGAUAAACAUACAUAUAUAUUUCGGUAUAUA